Molecule: non-coding RNA, 1805 nt
Organism: Rattus norvegicus (Norway rat)
Lineage: Eukaryota; Metazoa; Chordata; Mammalia; Rodentia; Muridae
Source: RefSeq, a predicted model, not a curated record
GGUAUAAAGGUUUCAACGCUGACAGGAGUGUUUACCUGUUUGCUAAGUGUCUUGUACCAGGUGCCCGGAUGCCUUAUGAUAUCACCUCCCUCGAUCCAUACAGCAUGCAGUGAGCUAAGAUGUGACCGAUGUCUGCAUCCUACAACGAAGAAGCAGACUCCCUACUUUGUGGACAGUUUCUCCUACAUGCCCAAGCUCAUAUGGCCAAUAAGGUGACAGGGGCGGAGUCUGACUUUCCAGACAGCCCUCCAGCCACCACGAAGCCAUGUCUCAUUCACUCCAGGAAACCAACAGUGCCUUCUAAGCUCUGAGCAGGGACCAAUGUCAGCCAGGUGAUUGUCCCAGUCUGGUGACACCAUUCCUCCACUCGGGUUUCCUGGAAACCUGAAGCAAGCUAAUCAGUAGGAAGUGUACCACAUCGUGCCACCAUCCAUAUUCGCUGUUAUCUCCCUUCCCUCUGCCCAGACUGGGUCCACAUCCAGCCUAGAGCUGGGCAGACUACUGGGUUUUGACACUUAAAGCUGAAUCUCAACUUUGGGUUGAGAGCCAGGACAUCCAUGUGGGUUUCCCGUAUGUCCUUGAAUAAUCCACUUAACCUUUCUGCCUCCUCCUCCCCCGUCACCUCAUACAUAAGGUAAAUUAAGGACAUUUGCUUUUCCUACAAAAUUGUUCUGAGAUUCAGAAAACUUGCCCGAUGUGGGUGAAUAUAGAACCCUCCCAACCGAUAGGGUGUAAUGAGAGGGGGUGACCAGUAGGUGGCACUGCUUCAAAGCGCCCGUGGGAGGUCCAAAGGAACUUUGAGCAUCCCUUCUCAACCACGUGUAGGGGACAUUAACUUUCCACACACUCCACACACCUGUAAAGGCAAAAAGGAAACUCGGAGAGACGUGUCCCUUCCAACGGCCCAGGACACCACAAUGGCAGAAUCAGGAUCAGACCAGGAGAUGCUGGUGCAAUAAGACCUGACAGGGAGAGAGUGAUGGCGCAAUAAGUCGUGCGGGAGCUGCGGUUGUCCCUGCUCACUGCCUUGAGCAAUGGCUGCCCCAUCUGGAUCGGAAGAGGCCACUGGACUCUCAGCAGGAGCAAGUCGGGGUGGGAGGGCCUUUCAUUUAGGCACAGAGCUCAGAACAGAUUUUCUGGAUUGGAGGCUGAGAAGAGGGCUGGGAACGGGAGGGGCAGACAAGUGGGCACUAGUUCUGCCCCUGAGCUCUUUGCUGUGCAUCUGUGGACAAUUCACCCUGACCUUUCUGGUCUUCAGUUUCUUCAUCUGCAAAAUGGAGCACCACCCAGGGUGGUUCUAAUUUGUAGGAAGAGGCAUAGAUGCUUGUCAGAUGGAAUUUCAAGGCAAUCGGUUGACAGCCAAAUGAGCACCUUGAAGGCUCGCGCUCUCUCUCUCUCUCUCUCUCUCUCUCUCUCUCUCUCUCUGGGCCCACUGUUGGGCGGGGGACGCCUAGGAGAAUGAGAGAACAAUCUUGGAUAAACAAGACAUGCAGAACUUCAGAACUUAGUAAAGUGAGAGCCGGCACGUUAAAUGGAAAACACAUUGGCCUGCUCAGCAAAACUGGGUUUUGGAAGGUGGACCCGUCAUGCAUGGGUCAGGUUGAGGGCUGUCACCUUUGCCUCUGGAUGUUUGCCCUGCCCCUGCACUGUUUUUACAACCAAGUGAUGGAACAUGCAUGAAACACACAUGAACACACACACACACACACACACACACGAAUAUAUACACACACACGUGACAGAAUAGUUUUAUUUUUAUUUUACCUAUAUUUGAAAUGUAUAUAAAUACAACCCUGCUGUGUGUA